Molecule: ribosomal RNA, 1149 nt
Filed under: Triticum aestivum (bread wheat)
Lineage: Eukaryota; Viridiplantae; Streptophyta; Magnoliopsida; Poales; Poaceae
Description: partial small subunit ribosomal RNA
Source: RNAcentral
AUGGCCGCGUCAGGAUCGGGAUCGCAGAGGUCUGAUAGCGGGAAGGAGAAGGCUGAUGCAGGGUUGGAGGCCGCCAUGAAGAACAUGCGGCUGCAAGAGGGAGAGCUCGAUGAAGUCUACGUGGGAGAAGAGGAGAUCGGAAAACUUGCAAAGGAGGCCCGUUGGCUAGCUGUCGCAAGGGUAAACACCUCCAAAACUUUUAGUAGCACGGCAUUGAAGGAAACCCUAAAGUCCAUAUGGAACCUAGCUCAUGUUCCUGACAUUAGGGAAGCCGAUGACAAUGUUUUUGUCAUACAAGUCUUUUGCCUGGGGGAUUGGAAGAGAGUAAUGUUCCAAGGUCCAUGGAUCUUCCAUUUGUACCGGAAGGAACCUAUUGUAGAUCAGCUGGCAAGGAGAAUUGGCAUUGUUAGAAGUGUAGAGCUAAAUCCAACACGUUAUUUCGAGGGAAAUUAUAUCCGUGUUCGGGCAAGUAUAGAUGUAUCGAAGCCACUGAUUCGAUGGACACCCUUAAAUCUGGCAGGAGAAAGAAUUUUUCUUGAGGUUAAAUAUGAAAAGAUUGGAUAUUUCUGUGGAGUGUGUGGCCUCCUUGGACAUGACAAGGAGGAAUGCGGUGACGGUGUUCAUCCUCCUGAUAAAAUACAGUGGGGGAAGUGGCUCCUAGCCAAAAGACGGACGACUCAGGUCCACCAAGAAGGUGAACGCCGGUUUGCUUACUUUCGAGGCAGCUUCCGUGGCAGAGGUCGUGCUGGCCGUGGUGCACCUCGUAAGAGGAAUUCCAACGAAGCUGGCCUAGAUGAUGAUGGGGAGGAGCGGGACACAGCCCAGAGUCCUCUGAAAGAGAAAGACAUAGAGCAGAAUAGAACCAACACAGAUGGUACAGAGGAUACAAAUCAGGUGAAGGAAAAGAACCAAACUGCAAGGAAACUUGAUAUGGAUGCUGGGACAGAAAAAGAAAAGGAGAAGUGCGAUGGUACAGAGAAGAAUCCAGCCAUGGCGGCUGCCGUGAGUGGGCUCAUCCCACCUCCACCUCCAGCUUAUAUUUCUCCCAAGGAACGUAAGAAGGCUCGCAAUGGAAGCUCACCAAACAAGUCUUCUGCUUCGGAUGUACAAUCGGCGGCCUCCCUCGAGGAGGACCGCCCGGCCCAAUGA